UGCGGGGCCCAUCUCGGGUUACCAAAUUAAGAUAAACUCCGAAUGCCAAUCACGUAUGUCCGGGAGUCAGACAGUGAGUGAUAAGAUCCAUUGUCGAAAGGGGAACAGCCCAGAUCGUCAGUUAAGGUCCCUAAGUGUGUGUUAAGUGGAAAAGGAUGUGAAGUUGCAUAGACAACUAGGAUGUUGGCUCAGAAGCAGCCACCAUUUAAAGAGUGCGUAAUAGCUCACUAGUCGAGUGCCAUUGCGCGGAAAAUGUACCGGGGCUAAACAUAUUACCGAAACUGCGGGUGUACUUUAAAGUACGCGAUAGGAGAGCGUUGUAUAGGCAAUGAAGGUAGACCGUGAGGACUGCUGGAGCGUAUACAAGUGAGAAUGCCGGUAUGAGUAGCGAAAAGAAGGGUGAGAAUCCCUUCCACCGAAAGCCUAAGGUUUCCUGAGGAAGGUUCGUCCGCUCAGGGUUAGUCGGGACCUAAGCCGAGGCCGAAAGGCGUAGGCGAUGGACAACAGGUUGAGAUUCCUGUACCACCUUGUUCCGUUGACGACGGGGGGACGCAGGAGGGUAGAGAAUCGCGCGACUGGUUGUGCGCGUCCAAGCAGUGAGGCUGAAGAGACAGGCAAAUCCGUCUCUUCUUAAGGCCAGGCUGUGAUGGCGAGGGAAGUUUUAGUACCGAAGUUCUUGAUCUCACACUGCCAAGAAAAGCCUCUAAGGAGGAACAAGGUGCCCGUACCGCAAACCGACACAGGUAGGCGAGGAGAGAAUCCUAAGGUGCUCGGGAGAACUCUCGUUAAGGAACUCGGCAAAAUGACCCCGUAACUUCGGGAGAAGGGGUGCCCCGGUAGGGUGAAUAGCCCGAGGGGGCCGCAGUGAAGAGGCCCAGGCGACUGUUUAGCAAAAACACAGGUCUCUGCAAAGCCGCAAGGCGAAGUAUAGGGGCUGACGCCUGCCCGGUGCUGGAAGGUUAAGGGGAAGAGUUAGCUCACGCGAAGCUCUGAACCGAAGCCCCAGUAAACGGCGGCCGUAACUAUAACGGUCCUAAGGUAGCGAAAUUCCUUGUCGGGUAAGUUCCGACCCGCACGAAAGGCGUAACGAUCUGGGCACUGUCUCAACGAGGGACUCGGUGAAAUUUAAAUACCCGUGAAGAUGCGGGUUACCCGCGACAGGACGGAAAGACCCCAUGGAGCUUUACUGUAGCUUGAUAUUGAGUGUUUGUGCAGCUUGUACAGCAUAGGUAGGAGCCGUAGAAAUCGGGACGCUAGUUUCGAUGGAGGCAAACGUGGGAUACUACCCUCGUUGUAUGAACACUCUAACUCACACCAC
Molecule: ribosomal RNA, 1318 nt
Filed under: fermentation metagenome
Description: bacterial LSU rRNA
Rfam family: Bacterial large subunit ribosomal RNA
Source: RNAcentral